This 731-nucleotide ribosomal RNA is filed under the name uncultured Achromobacter sp. RNAcentral's name for it is "bacterial SSU rRNA". It matches the Rfam family "Bacterial small subunit ribosomal RNA", at positions 22 to 748 of the family's 1533-position model. The record is from RNAcentral. Lineage: Bacteria; Pseudomonadati; Pseudomonadota; Betaproteobacteria; Burkholderiales; Alcaligenaceae.
GCUCAGAUUGAACGCUAGCGGGAUGCCUUACACAUGCAAGUCGAACGGCAGCACGGACUUCGGUCUGGUGGCGAGUGGCGAACGGGUGAGUAAUGUAUCGGAACGUGCCUAGUAGCGGGGGAUAACUACGCGAAAGCGUAGCUAAUACCGCAUACGCCCUACGGGGGAAAGCAGGGGAUCGCAAGACCUUGCACUAUUAGAGCGGCCGAUAUCGGAUUAGCUAGUUGGUGGGGUAACGGCUCACCAAGGCGACGAUCCGUAGCUGGUUUGAGAGGACGACCAGCCACACUGGGACUGAGACACGGCCCAGACUCCUACGGGAGGCAGCAGUGGGGAAUUUUGGACAAUGGGGGAAACCCUGAUCCAGCCAUCCCGCGUGUGCGAUGAAGGCCUUCGGGUUGUAAAGCACUUUUGGCAGGAAAGAAACGUCCCGGGCUAAUACCCUGGGAAACUGACGGUACCUGCAGAAUAAGCACCGGCUAACUACGUGCCAGCAGCCGCGGUAAUACGUAGGGUGCAAGCGUUAAUCGGAAUUACUGGGCGUAAAGCGUGCGCAGGCGGUUCGGAAAGAAAGAUGUGAAAUCCCAGAGCUUAACUUUGGAACUGCAUUUUUAACUACCGAGCUAGAGUGUGUCAGAGGGAGGUGGAAUUCCGCGUGUAGCAGUGAAAUGCGUAGAUAUGCGGAGGAACACCGAUGGCGAAGGCAGCCUCCUGGGAUAACACUGACGCUC